GAGUUUGAUCCUGGCUCAGGACGAACGCUGGCGGCGUGCUUAACACAUGCAAGUCGGACGGUCUGUAUAUUGAAAGCUUGCUGGAUAUGUACGGAUAGUGGCGGACGGGUGAGUAACGCGUGAAUACCUGGCCAUCGGAGGGGGACAACGGCUGGAAACGGUCGCUAAUACCGCGUAAGCCGUAAGGUGAAAGGCCACGGGAGUGGCUGCCGAUGGAUGGGUUCGCGUCCUAUCAGCUGGUUGGUGGGGUAAGGGCCUACCAAGGCUAAGACGGGUAGCCGGUCUGAGAGGGUGAUCGGCCACACUGGAACUGAGAUACGGUCCAGACUCCUACGGGAGGCAGCAGUGGGGAAUAUUGGGCAAUGGGGGGAACCCUGACCCAGCGACGCCGCGUGAAGGAUGACGGCCCUACGGGUUGUAAACUUCUUUUUUAAGGGAAUAAAGUGAGCCACGUGUGGCUUUUUGCAUGUACCUUACGAAUAAGGAUCGGCUAACUCCGUGCCAGCAGCCGCGGUA
RNAcentral lists this ribosomal RNA (516 nucleotides) under uncultured Deferribacteres bacterium. RNAcentral describes it as "bacterial SSU rRNA". It matches the Rfam family "Bacterial small subunit ribosomal RNA", at positions 9 to 522 of the family's 1533-position model. Lineage: Bacteria; Pseudomonadati; Deferribacterota; Deferribacteres. The record is from RNAcentral.